Molecule: unclassified non-coding RNA, 289 nt
Filed under: uncultured Nitrospiraceae bacterium
Lineage: Bacteria; Pseudomonadati; Nitrospirota; Nitrospiria; Nitrospirales; Nitrospiraceae
Description: contains 16S-23S intergenic spacer region
Source: RNAcentral
UCCGGCUUGACGCCGGCAGUCCCCCGACAGCCAUGCAGCACCUGUGCUGGCUGCCCUUGCGGGCUCAUUACCGUUUCCGGUUCUUACUACCAGCAUGUCAAACCUGGGUAAGGUUUUUCGCGUUGCGUCGAAUUAAACCACAUGCACCACCGCUUGUGCGGGCCCCCGUCAAUUCCUUUGAGUUUCAACCUUGCGGCCGUACUCCCCAGGCGGGGAACUUACUCCGUUAGGUGCGGCACCGGCGGUAACCCGCCGACACUUAGUUCCCAUCGUUUAGGGCGUGGACUAC